This is a small nucleolar RNA of Jaculus jaculus (lesser Egyptian jerboa), 94 nucleotides long. Its record names the gene SNORD116. It matches the Rfam family "Small nucleolar RNA SNORD116". Rfam says of the family: HBII-85 is a member of the C/D class of snoRNAs, which contain the C (UGAUGA) and D (CUGA) box motifs. HBII-85 is encoded in a tandemly repeated array with another C/D snoRNA, HBII-52, in the Prader-Willi syndrome (PWS) region of chromosome 15. The record is from Ensembl. NCBI's taxonomy places the organism in Eukaryota, Metazoa, Chordata, Mammalia, Rodentia, Dipodidae.
GGAUCGAAGAUGACUACCACAAAAACAUUCCCUGGAAAAGCUGAACAAAAUAAGUGAGAGCUCACUUCCAUCAUUCUCAUUGUGACUGAGGUCA